UAAACUUAAAACCCGAGAUAGAAAUCAGAACAUCAAGCACGAAACCGCGCACCUUACAAGAAGCACAAGGUGCCGCGUUCGAAGCAGAACUAUUAAUCGGAGAAAUUGAGCGAAACCGCGGAAAUCAGCGCAGCCAGCAAAUAAGAGCUCACUCAUUCACCCGAGGGAAUGUAUCGUCACAACGCAACCCCCCACUUAGGAGCGGUCCGAUGACUACGCUCAAUCGCCUGCCGACAAGCACUCAAAUAAACAACGUGCAACCAAAUAGGACAUACCGCAAAUUACUGCCGAAAUUUUCAACCGGCCAGCCAGCGAAAUCUUCC
Molecule: unclassified non-coding RNA, 323 nt
Filed under: Bombus terrestris (buff-tailed bumblebee)
Lineage: Eukaryota; Metazoa; Arthropoda; Insecta; Hymenoptera; Apidae
Description: misc RNA ENSBTSG00005026490.1
Source: RNAcentral